RNAcentral lists this ribosomal RNA (253 nucleotides) under uncultured bacterium. RNAcentral describes it as "partial 16S ribosomal RNA". It matches the Rfam family "Bacterial small subunit ribosomal RNA", at positions 524 to 776 of the family's 1533-position model. The record is from RNAcentral.
UACGUAGGGUGCGAGCGUUAAUCGGAAUUACUGGGCGUAAAGCGUGCGCAGGCGGCUUUGCAAGACAGAUGUGAAAUCCCCGGGCUUAACCUGGGAACUGCAUUUGUGACUGCAUGGCUGGAGUGCGGCAGAGGGGGAUGGAAUUCCCGGUGUAGCAGUGAAAUGCGUAGAUAUCGGGAGGAAUACCGAUGGCGAAGGCAGGUCUCUGGGCUGACACUGACGCUCAUGCACGAAAGCGUGGGGAGCAAACAGG